UGGAAAAAGAGGAAGAAGUGCAUGGAGCAUUCCUCAGGGGCCUGAAAUGAACAGGUGGUUAUAGUGUGAUUUCACCAGUGUUUCACCCUGGCUGUGCAGACAAGCCAAUAUCAGCAUAAGAAAGAAAAAGAAUGACAUAAAUUGGAUGUUAGAAGAGUUCUGAAGAUAGACAUCAGAAGAAUUCAAGAAUGCCAGUCAGAUGCAGCAGAAAGCUUGCCAGAAGACCAGAAACCAGAAUGCCAUCCCUUCUGGACAGAUGAUGAUGAAUGUAGUAUGCCUCUGCCAUAUGAUCUAGAAGAAGUAAUUGCUUAUCUACAAAAUCUUGUUCAAUGGAUAGAAUAACAAGUGACCUUCCAGCCCAGAAUUAUUGAUGCUGGUCAUCUUGGGAGAAGCUUUGUCAUUAUCAUAAAUCUUUUCAGCUUUAUGAUUCCUUUAUCAUAUGUUAUUUUAUGUGUCAAUGCAGAUUUUACCAGUCUUUACACAGUAGUUUCAUUACUGUCUCAUAAUAAAAAAGACGAGCCCCCAGA
Molecule: non-coding RNA, 527 nt
Organism: Cyanistes caeruleus (blue tit)
Lineage: Eukaryota; Metazoa; Chordata; Aves; Passeriformes; Paridae
Source: RefSeq, a predicted model, not a curated record